Long non-coding RNA from Eriocheir sinensis (Chinese mitten crab), 1013 nucleotides. RefSeq lists it as uncharacterized. The record is from RefSeq and is a predicted model, not a curated record. The transcript has 3 exons. NCBI's taxonomy places the organism in Eukaryota, Metazoa, Arthropoda, Malacostraca, Decapoda, Varunidae.
GUAACCUGGGGAGGGAGAGAGAGAGGGGGUGAGGGGGGUGAGGGGGAAGCAGAGGAGAGAGGGAGGGAGAAGGAGAGAUAGAAGUGGAGAAAGAGAGAGAGGGAUAAAGAGAGAGGUCUACCAACUGGUCUCAUUCCUUCUACCUCCAGUCUCUCCAAAACUCCCAGCACUGUAUCCUCCCCUGCUCUCUUCACACGUCCAAACCAUCGGAGUCUUUCCCUUCUGAGAGCUGUUUCCAGGUCCUCUACUCCACAUCUGUAUCCUCCCCUGCUCUCUUCACAUGUCCAAACCAUCGGAGUCUUUCCCUUCUGAGCACUGUUUCCAGGUCCUCUGCUUCACAUCUGUAUCCUCCCCUGCUCUCUUCACAUGUGCAAACCAUCGGAGUCUUUCCCUUCUGAGCACUGUUUCCAGGUUCUCUACUCCACAUCUGUAUCCUCCCCUGCUCUCCUCACAUGUCCAAACCAUCGGAGUCUUUCCCUUCUGAGCACUGUUUCCAGGUCCUCUACUCCACAUCUGUAUCCUCCCCUGCUCUCUUCACAUGUCCAAACCAUCGGAGUCUUUCCCUUCUGAGCGCUGUUUCCAGGUCCUCUACUCCACAUCUGUAUCCUCCCCUGCUCUCUUUACAUGUCCAAACCAUCGGAGUCUUUCCCUUCUGAGCACUGUUUCCAGGUCCUCUACUCCACAUCUGUAUCCUCCCCUGCUCUCUUCACAUGUCCAAACCAUCGGAGUCUUUCCCUUCUGAGCGCUGUUUCCAGGUCCUCUACUCCACAUCUGUAUCCUCCCCUGCUCUCUUCACAUGUCCAAACCAUCGCAGUCUUUCCCUUCUGAGCGCUGUUUCCAGGUCCUCUACUCCACAUCUGUAUCCUCCCCUGCUCUCUUCACAUGUCCAAACCAUCGGAGUCUUUCCCUUCUGAGCGCUGUUUCCAGGUUCUCUACUCCACAUCUGUUAUCUCCUUCCUUCUACCUCCAAUCUCUCCACAACUCCCAGCACUGUAUACUCCUAUCACCAAUCA